This is a non-coding RNA of Brachypodium distachyon (stiff brome), 146 nucleotides long. The record is from Rfam. NCBI's taxonomy places the organism in Eukaryota, Viridiplantae, Streptophyta, Magnoliopsida, Poales, Poaceae.
GUUGCUUCACAACUGGAAGAAUGGCCUGAGGAUAACAAUUUGGUCAUCCUGUAGAGGGAAGCAUAGAUGAAUGGAAAUACCAGCCAGCAUUAAACAGCACGAUGCAUAAUCUCACGGCGUCGUGUUACCUGUCUUCUGGCACGUUU